RNAcentral lists this small nuclear RNA (344 nucleotides) under Propithecus coquereli (Coquerel's sifaka). RNAcentral describes it as "7SK RNA (ENSPCOG00000011587.1)". It matches the Rfam family "7SK RNA". Rfam says of the family: 7SK was discovered as an abundant small nuclear RNA in the mid-70s but a possible function has only recently been suggested. Two independent studies have found that 7SK RNA binds the CDK9/cyclin T complex (known as elongation factor P-TEFb). Lineage: Eukaryota; Metazoa; Chordata; Mammalia; Primates; Indriidae. The record is from RNAcentral.
GGAUGUGAGGGCUAUCUGGCUGCAACAUCUGUCACCCCAUUGAUCGCCAGGGUUGAUCCAGCUGAUCUGGUUGACUAAGUAGGUGUUCCCUUCCUCCAUCAAUGCUCCAUGUGCGUCCCUCCCGAAGCUGCACACUCAGUCAAAGAGGAUGACCUUCCCCAAUAGAGGAGGACCAUUCUUCAGUCAGGGUGUGAUGAGUAGCUGCGCUCCCCUGCUAGAACCUCCAAACAAGCUCUCAAGAAAGUUCCAUUUCUAUUCUAGUUCCUGAUUUCAUAACUAUAACUGUUAUAGGACAGAAUGCCAGAAAGAAGACAAGAUCCUAUGUGAUCUUGGUAAGUCAUUUA